CGAACAAUGUGUCAACCUGCAAAAGACUGAGCAUUAUAACUGAAAAUGGCAAAAGAUUCACUCUAUUGAACUUCACAUCAUUAUUUGAUGUUAAACAAUGAGGCAAAUCCCAACAGUAUAUACAAAAACCAGCUUUGCUUUUACAAAAGAUUUUGUUUCCCAUAUUGAUUAAUCCAGGCAGCUAACUCAUUGGUUUAUGCAACUUUAUUGAAGAAAAUAAAUCAAUUACUAGUAGAGCUAUUAGUUGAUCACUCAUCCAUUUACAACUUGCAUCAUUUAUUCAGUGCUAUAUUAAACAGUGUUUUGGAAGACAGAUUAACUAAUAGCUCCAAGCCUCCUAACAAAAUUUAAAUGAAUUACAAAAAUGUUCUUAGACCCUAUUUUGGAAUACAAGGGAUGUUUGACUUCCAAUUUCCAUUCUCUGUAAAACAAGAACUGGUCAUUCCUUUAUUGACAUGCAUAAGAUACAUCACAUUUUCUGUUCUGCUGAUGCUAUAGAUUCAGUACCAAUUCUCCAGACAUAUCAGUUAUGAGCAAAUGUAUAUAAUAAAACCUCAGUUCUCUAACACUAGAAGGUUUGUAACAAGAUGGAUGUUGCUACAGCAAUGUUACUUCUUUGAUGGGAGAAAACUGAACAUCCAUCUCCUCUCACCCCUUUCAGGUGGCAUCUUCAGUAUCUGUUAGAGCAAUGAGGAAUGUAUUUUUUUAAUCUCAUAACCAAGUUAGAAUGAAGACAUUGGCCACAUAAUACACAUGCUCCAUUAAAAAAAAAUUCUGAAUCUUGGGCAAUUGUUCUUGUGUAACUACUUUACAGAUUCUAAAAGCAGUUAUUGUCCAAAGCUGGAAGAACUAAAGUCUUCUCAGAUGAGCAUGUGCAUGAAUGGAAGGAGGUAAACAAAAAAAUAAAAAAGAUGAGGUCUGAUAGGGGAGCAGCCGGAUAAGAAAAUCAAAAAAGGAACAGUAAUUUAAAGUUUAUUCCAGCUAUAAUGCAGGUUAUUCUGACUUUAAGGUAGCAUCACAUGGCAUACUUCUGAGUCCAUUCCCGAGAUAUUCUGUUGUACCCUACAGCAUAGCGUAUUUCUCUGUCCACUCUCUUGCUAACCUAUUGUACUUGUCUCUGUCUGUUUUAUAGAUACGUGCAAUCUCUGGCACUAGAGGGUCAUCUGGAUUUGGAUCACAUAACAGUGAACAAAUGGAUAAGAGAACUUUAGAAAUAGUUAAAGCAGGAGACCACUGUGAUCUUAGAAUAUCGAGACAAAUGCUGCCAUUACUGUUAAUAUUUGGAUGAUAGAUUCUUGUUGUAAAUGCAACCUUAGGUGGUUUGAAAGGGUAGUCUGUAGGAAAGUGAAUUGUCAAGAAGAAUACACCACCCUGAUAUGGACUGUCAUUAGGUCCCAUAAUUGUGGCUUGCCAAUGAAACAUGUCAUCUCCAACGGGACCUGCUGAACACUGUGCGGGAGGAUCGCGAGCUAAGUCACUAAGUUCCUUGUUGAUGCGUUUCAGCGCCAUUGUGUGCGAGUGCCGCCGCCGCCGGGGCCGUCUGUGCGCCGCGGUGACUCCGCGCUCCGCUCGCGCUGCGGGGGGGCCGGGAGGAGGGCGCGAGGAGGAGGAGGAGGAGAAGGAAGGCGGGGAGGGGGAGGGGGCAGCCGCGCCGCUCCUUCCUGCGGAAGCCGCCGAAGGGGGCGCCCGAGCGGAGCGGAGAGCGGCGGCCGGCAGAGCGCUGCGGACGGCGAGCCGUGCGCCUGAGGGAGCGCUGCGUCCGCCGCGUCCCGUCACUGCCGGGAGGAGCAGCAGAAGGAAGGGGGGAGCCGCGAGGCGCCACCCGACAAACAGGAGAGGAGAGCAGAGCAAGCGGAACAACGCCGCGCAGCGUCGCCGUCGCCGGCCAGGCCCGAACCCGGGGGAGGAGGGGGCGGAGCGUGCCUGUCUCCAGCCACACCCCGGGGGCUGCACACGGGAGGGGCGGGAAAGCAGAGUCAGGGGGCAUUGUGGCUCCGCCCGCACAACGGGGAGGGGGGGGUGCGUGCGUUGAGGUGUCUCGCGAGAGGUGGGCGCGAGCCGCGCCGACGCAGAGGAAGGGAGGGGUGGUUUGGGCCCUGCCUGCCGAGCGGCGUCUCUGCGGUGCCGCUCCCCCCGGUACUGACGGCGAACCGCCGCCCUGCCCGGCGUAGCGCUGCGCGCACAAAAUGGCCGCGGCUGGUCCUACAUCGCUGCGAUGACGCGGCGGUAUCCUUCCGCGGGAGGGCACUUCGCACUUCCCCGACCGUGUGUCCUUGCGCUGCUGCGGAAAUAAGCGCUGCCCGCGCUCGCUUCCGCCACUACAGAAACGUAAAAUAAGGCGGCCCCGUUCCGAGCUCCCGGUGCUGCUGCCCGCCCGGCUGUGUGCCGCAAAGGGCACCGCAGCGCCAUAGAGAGGAAGGGGGGUCCCGUGGAGGAGCGGCGGCCCCGGAACAAAGGGCCGGGCUGAGGGACGACGACCCAUCAACUCAUUCGUUAUAAUGGCCCGAUAGCACUGCUGUCGGUUUUUUGCUACCUUGCGUGCUAGUUACACUAGCCCGGAGGAGGCAGCACGUUAUAAAGCUCCUUCACUUUGCUUGUUUCGUGGUACUAUCUGCAUACUCAGGAAGUGCAGCCCCGAACUGUUCUGUUCAUGUUCUUAUCGUCUUAAUCGGGAAUAGCACUGCAAAACACCUCGCUGUUCUUCGCCCAGUGUGGGUUAGGCAGCGUUGGUACGCCCUUCCAAAGCACCACUACAGCUGUAUUUCUGUCACAGAAGCUGCCUUUUAAAUUGCUUACACAGUUCCUUUUCCUUUACUCUUUCUCGUCUCGGGAGAGGUAUUUAGCAAUAUUUCAGUUGUACGUUUCUAAUUUGAGGCUAAUGACCUCCAGUGUGACUCCAUAUAUAAUAAAGAUAUUUGGCUUGCGUUUGGCACUUUGCUGUAUAAAAGAGAAAUAAAGAACUGCACAGACAUCCUGUUGACAGUGUGUACUUUUCCCUGCUCAUUUAAUGCAGUGGGUGUUGUUAAUUUGGUAAAUCAAGUUGUGUUUCCUGCAUUUCAGCAGUUGUGUGUUAAAUUCCAUCAGUGUUUUGUAUUGUCUUUCUUUACAGCCGUUAGUGUAAAUGCUCAGAAAUAGGUCUGCAUUUAUUGCUUUAGAAUACUUCUUUAGAGAAAUACUUUAUUGUGCUCAAUGUUGUUUUUAUAUAUAUAUAUAAAUAUAAAUUUAAAUAUUUACCUUUACACACAGUUGAGAAAAAUAACUAAAAAUAAUGACUGUUAAGGUAUGAAACACAGUCCUAUGGCCAUUUCUGCAAGUCACAGCACACAGUGCUGCUUGGAGAGCGUUGUAUGUCUCACCUUCACCUUCUUUACCUCAAACUCUAAGGUAAAAAUCAUGUAGUUUCCCCUCAGCUUUGGAAGUGAAUAAAGAAGUAGAAUUUUUACUUAAGUAGGAAUACUUGUGUCACUAAGGCCUUGCAACCUUAAUGUAUUAAUGUGCCAUAUAUAUAAUGAGUUUCUCACCCUUACUGUAUGGAGUAGGUGCACUGUAAUACUACUUGCAGAGAUGCCUCAUAUUAGUAAUAUAAAAUGCAAGAGGCACAGAUGAUGGAUGGUGAAUAUGAAUGGGUGUGGCAACUCAGUGUGGGAUUACCUGGUCUAUUUGGGCUUGCUUCAUUUUAAUUUGAUUUUUGAAGCUAAUCCUCAGAAGCGGUUGAAUAGAGCUAUGUCUGCCACGUCUAAUUCUUAUACACCAGUGAAGCUGAGUUUAAUUUUCAGAGGUUUAUUAUGCAAAAAUUGGUCAGCAGAUGUGGCAUGGUAAUAAACAGUUCCCAGAAAAUACCCACAACAAGCAAGCUGACUUGAAUUUGAUUGCUUUUUUAAGCACAGCAUUGCAGGGUCCUGUGCAGCCAUGUGGUCGACAACCUCUGAAGGGAGUUUUGCCAGUUUGCUUCAGCUGCUUUGUGAUGGUCCAGCAGUACAAGCGUGAAUGGAGAUUGCCUUGAUAUAGCACUUCUCCCAGGAUAGAGAGGACUCAAGGGAAAAGCAUUCCAGACUUAGUGUAUAACUUAGUGUAUCUUGCUUGCACAUCGAUGUCAGGUUUUUCGCUUCUACUGUAAAAUGACCACUCAUUUUUACAAUUCCAGCAUACUUUUCUACCUGUCUUAGAAAAAGGAAGAGCAACCAAGCACCCCAGACACCAAGCAGCAUUCCACUUACAGCACUUCAUUAUAUGCAAGGGUCUUUUUUCAGGAAAAAAAAAAUGCUUUGACAAAAUAGCAAGACAGCCUCCUUAUUAGUCCACACGGUAGAUCGUUAUUGGUAGCUCAUUAUUAGCUCCUGCUUGGAGGAAGCGAAACGCAACAGCUUCUGCUGCUGAAAAACAAAACACUAAGAUGAAAAACAACAACAGCUCUCCC
RNAcentral lists this long non-coding RNA (4417 nucleotides) under Gallus gallus (chicken). Lineage: Eukaryota; Metazoa; Chordata; Aves; Galliformes; Phasianidae. The record is from RNAcentral.